AAUUAGUAAGUGCAACUGAUUUCAUCUUUUUUGUACUUAUUUCUAACUAAGAAAUUAAAAAAUAUGAAAAUUUUGAAUUGAUAUCAAUAGUUUGAUCAUUAGUUAUUGAAAUUCUAUUUUACUAUACGAUUUGUUAAGAAUUUGUUUAAGAUCAUGGAUUUGAUUAGGAUUCGAUUUAAGAUUUGAUUUAGAAUUUUAUUAGGAUUAAAAUUUUAAGAAAUCUUCAAAUUUGUAAACAUAUUUUUAUUUUUCAAAAUCUUAGCCAAUCAAGAAUAUUAUUGACUUUAAAAAUUCUUCAAAAAUUUAAUAUUGAU
Molecule: long non-coding RNA, 314 nt
Filed under: Physcomitrium patens
Lineage: Eukaryota; Viridiplantae; Streptophyta; Bryopsida; Funariales; Funariaceae
Description: long non-coding RNA (PPAT_LNC005302)
Source: RNAcentral